UCUUUGCCUUCUCCACAUCUCAAAUUUAUAUUCUUUAAGAAUCACAAAUUCCUAGGAUUUUAACUUAAAAUUGAGUCCAUAAUCCCAACACUUUUACCAUUUACCUUUUUCACUUCUUUCUUUUCACCUUUCCUAUAAAGAACAUCAUCAAUACGUGCAGAAUCUAGCUUAUGAAUUGAAUGAAAACUGGACUGAGAAAUUG
RNAcentral lists this unclassified non-coding RNA (202 nucleotides) under Hevea brasiliensis (rubber tree). Lineage: Eukaryota; Viridiplantae; Streptophyta; Magnoliopsida; Malpighiales; Euphorbiaceae. The record is from RNAcentral.